GAUGAACGCUGGCGGCGUGCCUAAUACAUGCAAGUCGAGCGAACGGACGAGAAGCUUGCUUCUCUGAUGUUAGCGGCGGACGGGUGAGUAACACGUGGAUAACCUACCUAUAAGACUGGGAUAACUUCGGGAAACCGGAGCUAAUACCGGAUGAUAUUUUGAACCGCAUGGUUCAAAAGUGAAAGACGGUCUUGCUGUCACUUAUAGAUGGAUCCGCGCUGCAUUAGCUAGUUGGUAAGGUAACGGCUUACCAAGGCAACGAUGCAUAGCCGACCUGAGAGGGUGAUCGGCCACACUGGAACUGAGACACGGUCCAGACUCCUACGGGAGGCAGCAGUAGGGAAUCUUCCGCAAUGGGCGAAAGCCUGACGGAGCAGCGCCGCGUGAGUGAUGAAGGUCUUCGGAUCGUAAAACUCUGUUAUUAGGGAAGAACAUAUGUGUAAGUAACUGUGCACAUCUUGACGGUACCUAAUCAGAAAGCCACGGCUAACUACGUG
RNAcentral lists this ribosomal RNA (497 nucleotides) under uncultured bacterium. RNAcentral describes it as "partial 16S ribosomal RNA". It matches the Rfam family "Bacterial small subunit ribosomal RNA", at positions 28 to 507 of the family's 1533-position model. The record is from RNAcentral.